AAACAUUGUUCCUGGUAUCAAAGUUGACAAGGUAUAUUAACCUACACCCUCAACUUUAACGUCAAUAAAAUAUAUAGUGAACUUUUAGUAACUUCUAUUUUUAAUUUUAUGUGUAAAAUAUUGGUCUCAGAUGAGCUUAAACAGAACGACAUUAUACGUGAGGAUCUAUAUAGCCGACCCCAACUUGCUUGAAAUUCUUGUAGUAACAAGAAAGAGGAAAGGCAGGGUUAUGUAUGGGUAGCAAGAGUUUAUUAUAGGGCGUUCAAACUUUUAAGUUUGACUCUUAAAUAAACUUUAACUUGUUCAACUUAGAGUUGUUUAUAUGGCGAAACUAGCUCAGACAAGAGUUAAUCAGCCUAUGGACUGAGUAUUAAAUGAGAGGAUUUCAAGUUUAAUGAUUAAUUGGACUGAAAUGAGAUUUCUAUCAAAAUCCCCUAAUCAUUUUGUCUGUUAACAGGGUUUGGUUCCCCUUGCUGGUUCAAAUGAUGAGUCAUGGUGUCAAGGUCUUGAUGGCCUUGCCUCCCGCACUGCUGCAUACUACCAACAGGGUGCACGUUUCGCCAAAUGGUAUAUUCAAGAAUGCCUCAUAAUUUUCAAAAAUAUUGACUUUGUUAGGUCUAAAGAUGAUAUUUGCUAAAAUUAUGGUAACUUAUGCAGGCGUACCGUGGUGAGCAUUCCCAACGGACCAUCUGCAUUAGCUGUGAAGGAAGCAGCAUGGGGUUUGGCUCGCUACGCUGCAAUUUCUCAGGACAGUGGUUUGGUCCCAAUUGUGGAGCCAGAGAUUUUGUUAGACGGUGAACAUGGAAUCGACAGGACUUUUGAGGUAGCCCAAAAGGUUUGGGCUGAGGUCUUCUUCUAUUUGGCUGAGAACAAUGUCAUGUUCGAGGGUAUCCUCUUAAAGCCGAGCAUGGUCACUCCUGGUGCUGAAUGCAAAGACAGGGCCACUCCUCAGCAAGUCGCGGACUAUACUCUAAGUCUCCUUCAAAGGAGGAUUCCCCCAGCUGUCCCUGGAAUCAUGGUAAGUCUCCUUUAUUUCUAUGAAUUUAGCUAGUUUUUGACUGAGCACGAAAUUUAACAAACAAAGAGAGAUUGUCAGUACAUUGCCCAAGUAGCCUUAAAACGUGUGCUCUUAAACAUUUUAUGACAUUUCUAUGACUAUAUGAGCAUUGAGAAGUUAUUAAAGACUUAUUAUUUUCGAAAGAGAUUAAAAAGGAAAGUACCGUAUAAGAUGGAACUGAGUCAACAUAUAGAAUAUGAAUCAUUAGUAUCUGACUUCCCGUGAUAUAUAUAGAUGAAUAAGUGAAUAAACACUCAACGAGACUAACAUAAACAUUGGCACUAGGUAUGAAAUUACUAUUUAACUGGUGCUAAUUGACUCGAUAUUGUUGCAGUUCUUGUCUGGUGGGCAAUCAGAAGUUGAGGCUACAUUGAACUUGAAUGCCAUGAACCAAGCUCCAAACCCAUGGCACGUAUCGUUCUCAUACGCGAGGGCUCUUCAGAACACUUGCUUGAAAACAUGGGGAGGACAACCCGAGAACGUUAAGGCUGCUCAGGAUGCUUUACUUACCAGGGCCAAAGCCAACUCUCUUGCUCAGCUCGGAAAAUACACCGGCGAGGGUGAAUCAGAU
RNAcentral lists this long non-coding RNA (1628 nucleotides) under Nicotiana tabacum (common tobacco). RNAcentral's name for it is "long non-coding RNA (NTAB_LNC005956)". The record is from RNAcentral. Lineage: Eukaryota; Viridiplantae; Streptophyta; Magnoliopsida; Solanales; Solanaceae.